Molecule: long non-coding RNA, 494 nt
Filed under: Setaria viridis
Lineage: Eukaryota; Viridiplantae; Streptophyta; Magnoliopsida; Poales; Poaceae
Description: long non-coding RNA (SVIR_LNC002023)
Source: RNAcentral
GCGUUUGGAUAAUAAAGGAAGCAAGCAUCCGGAAGAAUGGCAUGCUUGUAUAGAGCUCGAUAGCAAAUUCUUUCAAUUCGGCAGUUAAGACAUGGUAGGAACUCAAUCAUGCCGUGGAAGAUUUCCAAAGGUAUUUUGAUGUUGAAUUCACCAGUGAAGCUGUAGCAGAGAAAAAAGAGGGGACAAAUGAAAAUGAUUCAUACAGAUGAAGCCAGAAGAAUUUUGAUGUUAGGUUGUGUAAACUGGUGCAAUAAGUUUAUACAAUUGGUGAUGUUAAUUUGAUAACACUCAUACUGCAAUAGAAAAAGGAAUACGAAGCAAUGAAGAUGGAUGAUUGGAAAGAAAUCAGUCUCGUUUUGUAUACACAGUCUCUGCGUCGAUCAUGGAUGGUGGAAGCAUUUACAGAUGGCAUGAGACAUGAAUAACUUCAGUUGAAAAACGUAUGGCAUCAACAAGAAUAACACCAGUGAAGAAGUACUUGAUGCAUAAAAACA